UCAAAACAGCGGCCUUCGGGCCUCGCUGCACCCUUGUCUUUUGCGCACCGUAUUGUUUCCUCGGCGGGCUUGCCUGCCGGUUGGACAUCAUAAAACCUCUUUGUAGUUGCAAUCAGCGUCAGAAAACAAUAAUUAUUA
RNAcentral lists this unclassified non-coding RNA (138 nucleotides) under soil metagenome. RNAcentral describes it as "partial internal transcribed spacer 1". The record is from RNAcentral.